UACGAAGGGGGCUAGCGUUGCUCGGAAUCACUGGGCGUAAAGCGCACGUAGGCGGAUCUUUAAGUCAGGGGUGAAAUCCCGGAGCCCAACUCCGGAACUGCCUUUGAUACUGGGGAUCUUGGAGUCCGGGAGAGGUGAGUGGAACUGCGAGUGUAGAGGUGAAAUUCGUAGAUAUUCGCAAGAACACCAGUGGCGAAGGCGGCUCACUGGCCCGGUACUGACGCUGAGGUGCGAAAGCGUGGGGAGCAAACAGG
RNAcentral lists this ribosomal RNA (254 nucleotides) under uncultured bacterium. RNAcentral describes it as "partial 16S ribosomal RNA". It matches the Rfam family "Bacterial small subunit ribosomal RNA", at positions 524 to 776 of the family's 1533-position model. The record is from RNAcentral.